Podarcis lilfordi (Lilford's wall lizard) is the source of this 69-nucleotide non-coding RNA. Lineage: Eukaryota; Metazoa; Chordata; Lepidosauria; Squamata; Lacertidae. The record is from the annotation of a GenBank genome assembly.
GCCGUAGCUCAGUGGCAAAGCAUCAGCCUUGCAUGGAGAAGGUUCUAGGUUCAAUCCCCGAUAUCUCCA